AGAGAACACCAUGUGAUCAUUGAGGCAGAGAACUCCGGGGACUGCCAACAAACCUCUGCCAGAAGCCAGGAAAGAGGCACGGGACAGAUUUUACUCUACGGACUUCAGAGAAAGCAUGGGCUUGCUUAUGCCUGGAUUUCAGAAUUACAGCCUCCAGAAUUGCUCUACAAAGCGAGGAUUGUGUGGAUCCUAAAGGCAGUAUCUCAUUCCACAGUCAGGCGUGAAGGCUACAGAUUGUCAUUUCACAAUGAUGGAUGUCUGUGAAGGAAAAGAGAACAUCUCAGGAAAAAUGAUAAAAGCUGAAGUUUAGUCUUUUUCUAAAUGUUGUUUCCCUUAGAAAGGCUUUACAUUUUUCUUGUCAUUUUUACCAUUUUACCUUAAAUUUUCCUUGGAGAAAAAGAGAGAAAGAGAGAGAAAGCAACCUUUUAUAUCUGAGAUUCUCACAUGCACAAAAGAUGGAAGAAAUUAAUAGAAUAUGGAUUCAGUUAUAUUGUUAUGUGAAAUGAAAACCCUAAUUAAUAAGAUGAAAUACACAAGGUAUUAAUUUAAAUUCCUCUACAUAGGUUCAUCAGAAAUUAAUUGGAAAAAUAUAGGAUGAUGGAAAACUGACUUAACUGAAUUUUAGGUGAAAAUAAACCUGGGUGGAUCAAAUCAGCUUUACAAUUCCAAACAAGCCAACUGUGUGAUGUGGCAGCCAAAAAUAUCUAAUGAAUCCUCAAACUACAUUAGCAAAAUUAUAGUGGCCAGAGCAAACAAAGUAAUAAUUCUCUGGCACUUUGCUUGGCCCAGACCACAUCUGGAGCUAUGUGUUAAUUUCUGGAUCACAUUGACAGUUAGUAAUUAUAGGGCAGCCACAGGAAGAUAAUCAGUUGUUUAGGAAUAUGGAAACCAAGGCAUAUGAGAAACAUUUGGAAAAAAAUUGUGCUUAACCUAGGGGAAAAGAAGAUACAGAAGUUGUCUUCAAAUCUUUGAAUGAUUGUUACAUGGAAAGGAGUUAAUAUUUAU
This is a long non-coding RNA of Choloepus didactylus (southern two-toed sloth), 1005 nucleotides long. RefSeq lists it as uncharacterized. The transcript has 3 exons. NCBI's taxonomy places the organism in Eukaryota, Metazoa, Chordata, Mammalia, Pilosa, Megalonychidae. The record is from RefSeq and is a predicted model, not a curated record.